GAGUUUGAUCCUGGCUCAGGACGAACGCUGGCGGCGUGCCUAACACAUGCAAGUCGAGCGAGAAUUUCACGACGGAAUCCUUCGGGAUGAAGAUGUGAAAGGAAAGCGGCGGACGGGUGAGUAACGCGUGAGUAACCUGCCUAUCAGAGGGGGACAACAUUUCGAAAGGAAUGCUAAUACCGCAUAAAAUAACAGUACCGCAUGAUACAGUUAUCAAAGAUUUAUCGCUGAUAGAUGGACUCGCGUCUGAUUAGAUAGUUGGUGAGGUAACGGCUCACCAAGUCGACGAUCAGUAGCCGAACUGAGAGGUUGAUCGGCCACAUUGGGACUGAGACACGGCCCAGACUCCUACGGGAGGCAGCAGUGGGGGAAUAUUGCGCAAUGGGGCAACCCUGACGCAGCAACGCCGCGUGAAGGAUGAAGGUCUUCGGAUUGUAAAGUUCUUUUAUUAAGGACGAAGAAGUGACGGUACUUAAUGAAUAAGCUCCGGCUAACUACGU
RNAcentral lists this ribosomal RNA (500 nucleotides) under uncultured bacterium. Its description in RNAcentral is "bacterial SSU rRNA". It matches the Rfam family "Bacterial small subunit ribosomal RNA", at positions 9 to 506 of the family's 1533-position model. The record is from RNAcentral.